Amphiprion ocellaris (clown anemonefish) is the source of this 953-nucleotide long non-coding RNA. RefSeq lists it as uncharacterized. NCBI's taxonomy places the organism in Eukaryota, Metazoa, Chordata, Actinopteri, Pomacentridae. The record is from RefSeq and is a predicted model, not a curated record. The transcript has 3 exons.
GACUCUGCUCUCCUCGUUUGGAUUAAUUCUGAUAUAAUAACUGUUGGUUUAUUUAUCGGUGGAGCAGCACAACAUUUUCCACAGACAGUUUUCCUGCCCGUUGGCUUGUUUUAACCAGUUUUCUGCCUUCGGCUGAUUCUACCAGCAGACACUGAAAGGACUCUGAUAGUUCGAGUGAAAGCAGCAGUUCCUCCUGAAGGUCAGAGAUUGCAGCAUCUGAGGGCCUCUUCAAAAGAAGACGUAGUUGAUGAAGGCGUUCUGGAGCAGGACCAGAAAGACCACGACCAAGCAGCCUUGAGAUCUUAGGCAGCGUCUCCCUCAGACCAAAGAACUACAGACUCUUCACAACCUGCUCAAACUCUUGGUACAGGACCUCACCACACGAGUCAAGAAGGUUUCCUUCUCAUUUCUACUCUGAAGCUCACCUUCUCCUGCUCAAACUGCUGACAAAUGUUUCUGCUGCUCGAAAGUCUGGUCUCCAGAACUUCCUAAAAACUCUCAAAGUCUCUUCUGCUGCAGGUUGCUUUGUAGAACUGUUGCAGAAAACCUCACUAAACCACAUGGAGGGGCCUCAAGAUAGUCGUCCAAAUGAAACGGUACAAAAACCCAACUAGCACAACCCAAACGCUAAAGUCUCCUGCACCCUACCAGAGAAGCUCUGAGAACAGAGAAUCAGGACAGGAACUCUUACCUUCUGGACAACCAACGUUGGUUCUCAAACAAGAAUACAGAAUGUGUCUGACCAAAAACCUCUAAAGACUCACUACAGCCAAGAUAAAGACACAACUCAGCUGUACCAAAUCCACUAAUCACUGCACACAUUAGGACCAUGUGCUAACUGUGGCUAAGGAACCACAUUUACCAAGACAACUAUCCAGUACAAAGCCCUAAAACACACCAAGAAACACAUUAAAGACGAUUUUACUGCUGGAAGCUGCAAGCCAAUGCCUAAA